RNAcentral lists this ribosomal RNA (45 nucleotides) under Leptolyngbya boryana UTEX B 488. RNAcentral's name for it is "partial 23S ribosomal RNA". Lineage: Bacteria; Bacillati; Cyanobacteriota; Cyanophyceae; Leptolyngbyales; Leptolyngbyaceae. The record is from RNAcentral.
GGUCAAGCUACAAAGGGCAAAUGGUGGAUACCUAGGCACACAGAG